RNAcentral lists this ribosomal RNA (560 nucleotides) under Hansenula anomala. RNAcentral describes it as "Wickerhamomyces anomalus partial large subunit ribosomal RNA". It matches the Rfam family "Eukaryotic large subunit ribosomal RNA", at positions 50 to 612 of the family's 3401-position model. Lineage: Eukaryota; Fungi; Ascomycota; Saccharomycetes; Phaffomycetales; Wickerhamomycetaceae. The record is from RNAcentral.
GCGGAGGAAAAGAAACCAACAGGGAUUGCCUCAGUAACGGCGAGUGAAGCGGCAAAAGCUCAAAUUUGAAAUCUAGCACCUUCGGUGUUUGAGUUGUAAUUUGAAGAUGGUAACCUUGGGUUUGGCUCUUGUCUAUGUUCCUUGGAACAGGACGUCAUAGAGGGUGAGAAUCCCGUCUGAUGAGAUGCCCAUUCCUAUGUAAGGUGCUAUCGAAGAGUCGAGUUGUUUGGGAAUGCAGCUCUAAGUGGGUGGUAAAUUCCAUCUAAAGCUAAAUAUUGGCGAGAGACCGAUAGCGAACAAGUACAGUGAUGGAAAGAUGAAAAGAACUUUGAAAAGAGAGUGAAAAAGUACGUGAAAUUGUUGAAAGGGAAGGGCAUUAGAUCAGACUUGGUGUUUUACGAUUAUCUUCUCUUCUUGAGUUGUGCACUCGUAUUUCACUGGGCCAGCAUCGAUUCGGAUGGCAAGAUAAUGGCAGUUGAAUGUGGCUUCACUUCGGUGGAGUGUUAUAGCUUCUGCUGAUAUUGCCUGUCUGGAUCGAGGGCUGCGUCUUUUGACUAGGA